CAGCCGCCGCGGGAACACGUAGGUGGCAAGCGUUGUCCGCAAUUAUUGGGCGUAAAGCGCGCGCAGGCGGAUAGGUCAGUCCGUCUUAAAAGUGCGGGGCUCAACUCCGUGAGGGGAUGGAAACUGUAUGCCUUGAGUGCAGGAGAGGAAAGCGGAAUUCCCAGUGUAGCGGUGAAAUGCGUAGAUAUUAGGAAGAACACCAGUGGCGAAGGCGACUUUCUGGACGAAAACUGACGCUGAGGCGCGAAAGCCAGGGGAGCGAACGGGAUUAGAUACCCGUGUAGUCCCUGUCUCUUAUACC
This 301-nucleotide ribosomal RNA is filed under the name uncultured bacterium. Its description in RNAcentral is "partial 16S ribosomal RNA". It matches the Rfam family "Bacterial small subunit ribosomal RNA", at positions 509 to 808 of the family's 1533-position model. The record is from RNAcentral.